AUGCUCGCUUCAGCAGUACAUAUACUAAAAUUGGAAUGAUACAGAGGUGAUUAGCAUGGCCCCUGUGCAAAGAUAACAUGCAAGAAGAGCCUUGACCUCAUUGG
Small nuclear RNA from Meriones unguiculatus (Mongolian gerbil), 104 nucleotides. Lineage: Eukaryota; Metazoa; Chordata; Mammalia; Rodentia; Muridae. The record is from Ensembl.